GGGUCGGUAGUCUAGCUUGGUAUGAUUCUUGCUUGGGGUGCAAGAGAUCCGGAGUUCAAAUCUCCGCCGGCCCACCA
This 77-nucleotide transfer RNA is filed under the name Candidatus Thorarchaeota archaeon. Its description in RNAcentral is "tRNA-Pro". It matches the Rfam family "tRNA". From Rfam's summary of the family: Transfer RNA (tRNA) molecules are approximately 80 nucleotides in length. Their secondary structure includes four short double-helical elements and three loops (D, anti-codon, and T loops). Lineage: Archaea; Promethearchaeati; Candidatus Thorarchaeota. The record is from RNAcentral.